CAACUUUCAGCAACGGAUCUCUUGGCUCUCGCAUCGAUGAAGAACGCAGCGAAAUGCGAUAAGUAAUGUGAAUUGCAGAAUUCAGUGAAUCAUCGAAUCUUUGAACGCACCUUGCGCUCCUUGGUACUCCGAGGAGCAUGCCUGUUUGAGUGUCAUUA
This 158-nucleotide ribosomal RNA is filed under the name Cystoderma jasonis. Its description in RNAcentral is "5.8S ribosomal RNA". It matches the Rfam family "5.8S ribosomal RNA". Rfam says of the family: 5.8S ribosomal RNA (5.8S rRNA) is a component of the large subunit of the eukaryotic ribosome. It is transcribed by RNA polymerase I as part of the 45S precursor that also contains 18S and 28S rRNA. Functionally, it is thought that 5.8S rRNA may be involved in ribosome translocation. RNAcentral also lists the same sequence under 1 other name. Lineage: Eukaryota; Fungi; Basidiomycota; Agaricomycetes; Agaricales; Squamanitaceae. The record is from RNAcentral.